Molecule: ribosomal RNA, 400 nt
Filed under: uncultured bacterium
Lineage: Bacteria
Description: bacterial SSU rRNA
Rfam family: Bacterial small subunit ribosomal RNA
Source: RNAcentral
UAGCGGAGCGUGUGGUUUAAUUCGAUGCUAAGCGAAGAACCUUACCAGGGCUUGACAUGUAGGUGGUACGGAUCCGAAAGGUGAAGGACCCGCAAGGGAGCCUACACAGGUGCUGCAUGGUUGUCGUCAGCUCGUGCCGUGAGGUGUUGGGUUAAGUCCCGCAACGAGCGCAACCCUUGUCGCUAGUUACUCUCUCUAGCGAGACUGCCCCUAAAAGGGAGGAAGGAGGGGAUGACGUCAAAUCAUCAUGGCUCUUACGUCCUGGGCUACACACACGCUACAAUGGCCAGUACAGACGGUUGCUAAAUCGCGAGAUGGAGCCAAUCCGACAAAGCUGGUCUCAGUUGGGAUUGCAGGCUGAAACCCGCCUGCAUGAACGUGGAGUUGCUAGUAACCGCGA